This 642-nucleotide long non-coding RNA is filed under the name Oryctolagus cuniculus (rabbit). RNAcentral's name for it is "lncRNA (ENSOCUG00000035789.1)". The record is from RNAcentral. Lineage: Eukaryota; Metazoa; Chordata; Mammalia; Lagomorpha; Leporidae.
AUGAUGCUUAAAUGCUUUUGUUGUUGUUCUCUUUUUCAGGUAAGUGAAAAGAUAUCUUCUGAAGUGUUCUGCAGAAAUUGUGCAGGUGGCAGUUCUCUUAGAAGAAAAAAGGAGGCAGGGAUCCUUGAAAUGACCUUUCGUUUGCUGUCUAAAAUAAACCACUCAUUUGCAGAAUUGGCCAGUACUGCACAUUGGAUGUCUACUGAUGCAAAGGUGUUCUGUCAUCCCAUUAACAGCCUUUCUAACUGUGUUAGCCAAAGAAGGAAGAAGCACUUAACGCCAGGCCCAUGCACCAGUCCCACCACUCAUGACCCAGAGCAACAGGAGGAGAAUGCUUCCUUCCCGGACUUGGCUGUUCUUCCUUCUUCUGGGGUCCUUUUAGAAAACAACAGGAAGGAAAGGAGAAAAAAAGUAUCCGACAGUGGGGAAGCCUGAAGCUGCAACACAAAUAAUGAUUAUUCCUGUCAAGGUUUAGCCGUGGUUGCUAAGUUACUGGCCUGUUCUGAAAAACCUUGAAGUAUGGGACACAUUAGGAGCUCGUUAGGUCCCGGUGACUUGCGGUAAAUGUACAAUUUGUCUCUGUGCUAAACACACUUCAAAAAUAACAAUAAAAUAAAACCCCACAUGGCUUAAAAUGUGUGA